GCAUAUCAAUAAGCGGAGGAAAAGAAACCAACAGGGAUUGCCCUAGUAACGGCGAGUGAAGCGGCAACAGCUCAAAUUUGAAAUCUGGCUCUCGGGCCCGAGUUGUAAUUUGUAGAGGAUACUUUUGAUGCGGUGCCUUCCGAGUUCCCUGGAACGGGACGCCAUAGAGGGUGAGAGCCCCGUCUGGUUGGAUGCCAAAUCUCUGUAAAGUUCCUUCGACGAGUCGAGUAGUUUGGGAAUGCUGCUCUAAAUGGGAGGUAUAUGUCUUCUAAAGCUAAAUACCGGCCAGAGACCGAUAGCGCACAAGUAGAGUGAUCGAAAGAUGAAAAGCACUUUGAAAAGAGAGUUAAAAAGUACGUGAAAUUGUUGAAAGGGAAGCGUUUAUGACCAGACUUGGGCUUGGUUAAUCAUCUGGGGUUCUCCCCAGUGCACUUUUCCAGUCCAGGCCAGCAUCAGUUUUCCCCGGGGGAUAAAGACUUCGGGAAUGUGGCUCUCUUCGGGGAGUGUUAUAGCCCGUUGUGUAAUACCCUGGGGGGGACUGAGGUUCGCGCAUCUGCAAGGAUGCUGGCGUAAUGGUCAUCAACGACCCGUCUUGAAACACGGACCAAGGAGUCGUCUUCGUAUGCGAGUGUUCGGGUGUCAAACCCCUACGCGUAAUGAAAGUGAACGCAGGUGAGAGCUUCGGCGCAUCAUCGACCGAUCCUGAUGUUCUCGGAUGGAUUUGAGUAAGAGCAUACGGGGCCGGACCCGAAAGAAGGUGAACUAUGCCUGUAUAGGGUGAAGCCAGAGGAAACUCUGGUGGAGGCUCGCAGCGGUUCUGACGUGCAAAUCGAUCGUCAAAUAUGGGCAUGGGGGCGAAAGACUAAUCGAACCUUCUAGUAGCUGGUUUCCGCG
This 894-nucleotide ribosomal RNA is filed under the name Fusarium proliferatum. Its description in RNAcentral is "LSU rRNA". It matches the Rfam family "Eukaryotic large subunit ribosomal RNA", at positions 38 to 962 of the family's 3401-position model. Lineage: Eukaryota; Fungi; Ascomycota; Sordariomycetes; Hypocreales; Nectriaceae. The record is from RNAcentral.